RNAcentral lists this ribosomal RNA (1773 nucleotides) under Triticum aestivum (bread wheat). RNAcentral describes it as "partial small subunit ribosomal RNA". The record is from RNAcentral. Lineage: Eukaryota; Viridiplantae; Streptophyta; Magnoliopsida; Poales; Poaceae.
AUGGCUCGGGCUCUCCUCAAGCAGAGAGGGAUGCCGGCUGUCUUCUGGGGAGAGGCGGUGCUAACGGCCGUCUACAUCCUCAACCGCUCUCCUACUAAGGCACUCGACGGCAGAACUCCGUACGAGGCCUGGCAUGGGCGGAAGCCGGCGGUCUCUCAUUUGCGGGUCUUUGGCUGCCUUGCGUUCGCCAAGGAGCUCGGCCACAUCGGCAAGCUCGACGACAGGAGCACUCCGGGAGUCUUCAUCGGCUACGCGGAGGGCUCAAAGGCCUACCGCAUCCUCGACCCAAAGACACAACGUGUGCGCACAGCGCGAGACGUCGUGUUCAACGAAGGGCGAGGGUGGCAAUGGGACAAGGCGGUGGACGACGGCUCGACGCCGACGUAUGACGACUUCAUUGUCGAGUACGCUCACUUCAAGGAAGCUGGGGGACCGGCGACGCCGCAUACUCCAGCCCCGGCGGUCGCCACUCCGGGCUCGUCUUCAUCAGCACCAGCUCACGCAGAGCACAACCCGAUGAAGUUCGCUUCCCCGCUCACUCAUGACGAGGAGCGGGUCGACGCAUGGUAUGGAGGCGAACCGCUGCGGUACCGUACGAUGGAUAAUGUGCUCGGCGACCAGCCGGUGCCAGGACUGGUGCCACGUGACCUGGAGGCGCAGCUACAGCUCGUGUGUGAAGACGGCGAACCACGGUCCUUUGCAGAGGCCGAGAGAGACGCGGCAUGGCGCGCCGCGAUGAAGUUGGAGAUGGAUGCGGUCGAGCAAAACCGCACCUGGGAGCUUGCUGAUCUCCCUCGAGGUCACCGCGCAAUCACCCUUAAGUGGGUGUUCAAGCUGAAGAGGGAUGGAGCCGGCGCCAUCAUCAAGCACAAGGCUCGUUUGGUGGCCCGAGGCUUCUUGCAGCAGGAAGGAGUCGACUUCGACGACGCUUUCGCUCCCGUGGCACGGAUGGAGUCCUCGGCAUUCCUCAACGGCGACUUGAAGGAGGAAGUCUACGUGCAUCAGCCACCGGGGUUUACGAUUCCCGGCCAGGAGGGCAAGGUGCUCCGCCUGCGCAAGGCUCUCUAUGGCCUGCGGCAGGCACCCAGGGCGUGGAACGCCAAGCUGGACUCCACGCUGAAGAAGAUGGGUUUCGAGCAGAGCCCGCAUGAGGCUGCCGUCUACCGACGGGGGAGUGGAGGAAAUGCCCUGCUGGUGGGCGUCUACGUUGACGACCUGGUGAUCACCGGCACCAAAGAUGCAGAGGUGGCGGCGUUCAAGGAAGACAUGAAGGCCACGUUCCAGAUGAGUGACCUGGGGCUCCUCUCCUUCUAUCUAGGGAUUGAGGUGCACCAGGACCACUCCGGGAUCGCGCUUCGACAGUCCGCCUACGCCAAGCGCAUCGUUGAGCUAGCUGGGCUCACCGACUGCCAUCCAGCUCUCACUCCGAUGGAGGAGAGGCUGAAACUAAGUCGCGACAACACGACGGAGGAAGUGGAUGCUACGCAGUACCGACGCCUUGUGGGGAGCCUUCGCUACCUCACUCACACACGGCCGGACUUGGCAUUCUCCGUCGGCUAUGUCAGUCGGUGUCCUGGGGCGGCACACUUCGUCGGGUACAGCGACAGCGACCACGCCGGCGACAUCGACACCAGCAAGAGCACGAGCGGGAUCCUCCUCUUCCUCGGCAAGUGUCUCGUGAGCUGGCAAUCAGUCAAGCAGCAGGUGGUGGCCCUGUCCAGCUGUGAGGCUGAGUACAUAGCAGCCUCCACCGCCUGUACUCAGGCGCUCUAG